This is a long non-coding RNA of Chiroxiphia lanceolata (lance-tailed manakin), 739 nucleotides long. RefSeq lists it as uncharacterized. Lineage: Eukaryota; Metazoa; Chordata; Aves; Passeriformes; Pipridae. The record is from RefSeq and is a predicted model, not a curated record. The transcript is spliced from 7 exons.
UCUCCUCAUUUCCUUGGAUCCUUUCUCUCAGCCUUCCCCAUGCACUGUGCAACCUCUCUGGAGUGCCCAUUAGUGGAGAGAAAGAGAGUUCAUAUGGUUGUGAUUGUCUUUACUUUCAGCUGGCAACCAAGAGAAGAGGGAGACUCGGCUCCAAUCCUUUGAAGUAUUGAUAAGAGAAGGUAGCAGAGAGGUUUCUUUCCCCUUUAGUAGAGAAGAUUGUGUAGUGACCCCUUUAGUAGAGAAGGUUGUGUACUGACCCCUUUAGUAGAGAAGAUUGUGUAGUGACCCCUUUAGUAGAGAAGAUUGCUCUGCCUGCAGCUGUACCCGUGGACCAGCUUGGAUUCCAACAGUUCCGUUCACGGCAAUGCAGCUGUGGCAGUUCCCUGCUUAGAGUGAAGCUGGAAUUCGUUGGCACUGGAGCACAUUGUCCCAGGAAGCGACUACUCCCUGCCAGGACAUCCGUACCAGUCAGUGGGACUGACCAGGCUGGUUCCUGGCACUUCCUGCCCCAGCAGUCAGCUGUCUUCCCCCACACUUGUCAUGUGGGCACAGGGAUACCACACUUGCAAGGGUUUCUCCAAAGGUUUUUGUGCCAGGAGUGCUCCAGGCUUUCAGAAGCAGAGCAGCCCUGGGAGAGCAGCUGAGUGAUGACAGCAAUGAGCUGCAGAGGCAGAAGAAGGAGGAACGUCCCUUGGCUGUGCCAGAAAGUGUAACGCGGCUGAGGAAGUGGGCGGUGAUG